This is a long non-coding RNA of Osmerus eperlanus (European smelt), 184 nucleotides long. RefSeq lists it as uncharacterized. The record is from RefSeq and is a predicted model, not a curated record. The transcript has 3 exons. NCBI's taxonomy places the organism in Eukaryota, Metazoa, Chordata, Actinopteri, Osmeriformes, Osmeridae.
UGAAAAUCUGGCAGUAACUGUUUGUGUCAUUGGUGGCUGAUGUCCAAAAAAUGGCAGAAAAAAGGAAGAUGGACAUCAGAGAAUUUUUCAGGACACCCAAACGCAAAGCAGAGCAGGCACCAGGUGACACACAGAGAAUAGAGCUGGGGACAGAGCAGGCACAGGGACUCAGGGAGUCUCAGGU